RNAcentral lists this ribosomal RNA (490 nucleotides) under uncultured bacterium. Its description in RNAcentral is "partial 16S ribosomal RNA". It matches the Rfam family "Bacterial small subunit ribosomal RNA", at positions 30 to 507 of the family's 1533-position model. The record is from RNAcentral.
AUUGAACGCUGGCGGCAGGCCUAACACAUGCAAGUCGAACGGUAACAGGAAGCAGCUUGCUGCUUUGCUGACGAGUGGCGGACGGGUGAGUAAUGUCUGGGAAACUGCCCGAUGGAGGGGGAUAACUACUGGAAACGGUAGCUAAUACCGCAUAACGUCGCAAGACCAAAGAGGGGGACCUUAGGGCCUCUUGCCAUCGGAUGUGCCCAGAUGGGAUUAGCUAGUAGGUGGGGUAACGGCUCACCUAGGCGACGAUCCCUAGCUGGUCUGAGAGGAUGACCAGCCACACUGGAACUGAGACACGGUCCAGACUCCUACGGGAGGCAGCAGUGGGGAAUAUUGCACAAUGGGCGCAAGCCUGAUGCAGCAAUGCCGCGUGUAUGAAGAAGGCCUUCGGGUUGUAAAGUACUUUAAGCGGGGAGAAAGGGAGUAAAGUUAAUACCUUUGCUCAUUGACGUUACCCGCAGAAGAAGCACCGGCUAACUCCGUG